RNAcentral lists this ribosomal RNA (423 nucleotides) under Spintharus sp. JA 00003731A. RNAcentral's name for it is "partial 16S ribosomal RNA". The record is from RNAcentral. Lineage: Eukaryota; Metazoa; Arthropoda; Arachnida; Araneae; Theridiidae.
AAUAUAACCUGCUCAAUGAAAAAUUUUAAAUAGCUGCAAUUUUUGUACUAAGGUAGCAUAAUCAUUUGUUUUUUAAUUUUAAACUAGAAUGAAAGGUAAAACAAAUUAUUUCUUUAUUUUUUAUUUUAUUCCAAUUUAUAUUAAAUAUAAAAAUAUAUUUUUUUAAAAAAAAGACGACAAGACCCUAUUGAACUUUACUUUAGUUAAGCUGGGGAAGCUUAAUAAUAAACAUUUUAUUAAAAAUUUUAUAAAUGACCCAAAACAUUUGAUUAAUUAAUCAAGUUACCAUAGGGAUAACAGCGCAAUAAACUUUUAAAGUUCUUAUCUAAAAAUUUGUUUACGACCUCGAUGUUGAAUUAGAAACCUUUAUUAAGCAAAAAUAAUAAAAGUAGGUCUGUUCGACCUUUAAUAUUCUACAUGAUC